Long non-coding RNA from Cyprinus carpio carpio, 636 nucleotides. The record is from Ensembl. Lineage: Eukaryota; Metazoa; Chordata; Actinopteri; Cypriniformes; Cyprinidae.
AAAUCCCACCUCUCCUUCUGGCUACAGAGCACUUACUUCAGGAGCCCAUGAAAUCAAAUGCAGAUGCCCCUGACAUGUUCAUGAUGUCAAAGACUCCAUCUCAUGUUCCCCUCUCACAUGCUCCUAAACCUGUGGAAUCAAAUGCAGAUGUCCUUGAUGUGCCGAAGGCUCCAUCCAAUGCUUCUCUGUCUGCUAAAGUGGAGUUAGCACAUGGCACGGGCAUAAAAAUCCUAAAGCAUCAAUGGACUUCUGCCCUGCAGGCCCAAACAGCCACUUCAAUGGUGCGUGUUCUUUUAAUGGCCGCCUUCCCACUAGAAGUUCUGAUCCACAGCAAUUUGAAAGGGGGAAAGAGUAAAACUGAUGGUAGUGCAGAGAGAAGACAUGCCCUUGACAAGGAAACCAUGGGAGCCAUAUUUGUGGCAGUCAAGAAGAGGUUUCCCAAUGUGUCCAGAGGAGCUUUGGGUAUUGCAGUGAAUUCCAAGCUGGGGGAACUGAGACUGCUUGAAAAAAAAAGGAGCUAAUUUUGUUAUUGUUUUUUUGUUGUUAUUCUUUAAUUUAUAGCAUGUUCCUUACUUGAUUUUUAUUCAGGUGUGUUAUAUGUUCACAUUUUAGACAGAAAAUAAAGAUUUUAUUCAA